Manis javanica (Malayan pangolin) is the source of this 775-nucleotide long non-coding RNA. RefSeq lists it as uncharacterized. The record is from RefSeq and is a predicted model, not a curated record. NCBI's taxonomy places the organism in Eukaryota, Metazoa, Chordata, Mammalia, Pholidota, Manidae.
UAAAAAAAUGGUUUGGCUGUAGGUGGGCGAGCCUCUGUGCUGUGUGCCCUGAAGGAGGGAAGGUGAGGUCAUGGCGUUGCUCAGGGAGGGAGCCCUGGGCCAGCAGGGCCGUCCCCUGCUCCGGGCAGCAUUGGGCUUAUACAGAGGCUGGCAAACCUCUGACCACCUUGUCUUUGAAUCUUCUGGUCUGGUUUUCACACUAAUUUCUCUUACAUCUAGUCAACUGAGAUUUACAAACAUCAGGAUGACAUAUGCCUUUAAAAGUGGAGUCAGAAAGUCCCACUUUUAAAUCCGCAAAGAGCAAAUGCUCUUCCUGCUCCUCCCACAUGCCUUGCUUCUGGGACAAAGUGUUUGCGGUGCAAUGACAAAGCCCAAUGCCAGCCUCACCCUGAAGCUUCUGGGCAGAUGAGAAAUCCCCACGGCUCCUGGAAAGGAAAUGAGGUCACCCGCUGUGAAGCCCGCACCGCCUGGACGCCUGCGCGGUCGUGUCUGAUUCCCUCUUGGCCCUGGCUUGGUGCCGGGCUGGGCUGCCCCUGCCUGAGGCCAAGGCAGCUGCAGGUGACUCAUGUCUAAGUCUAGUUCCUGCAGAGUCUAGGCUGCAGUUGUUUCUUUAAAAAGCCUCUAGCACUGCCCUGGUCCUGCCCUGAACCAAACCUCCCUUGGCAAUCGGGGUUGCCCUCUUCCUACCAUUAUUCCUGGCACUUAGUACAAUGCCUGGCAUGUGGCAGGCACUCAUAAAGUAUUGUUAAGUGAACUGAAUAAAUGAGUGAAUGAA